This is a small nuclear RNA of Oncorhynchus mykiss (rainbow trout), 188 nucleotides long. Its record names the gene U2. It matches the Rfam family "U2 spliceosomal RNA". From Rfam's summary of the family: U2 is a small nuclear RNA (snRNA) component of the spliceosome (involved in pre-mRNA splicing). Complementary binding between U2 snRNA (in an area lying towards the 5' end but 3' to hairpin I) and the branchpoint sequence (BPS) of the intron results the bulging out of an unpaired adenosine, on the BPS, which initiates a nucleophilic attack at the intronic 5' splice site, thus starting the first of two transesterification reactions that mediate splicing. The record is from Ensembl. NCBI's taxonomy places the organism in Eukaryota, Metazoa, Chordata, Actinopteri, Salmoniformes, Salmonidae.
AUAAUUAUGAUUUUGUAAAGAGUGAAUGGCAUUGAAUGUAAUACAUUGUUUAAUAUCUGAUACGUCCCCCAUCGGGGGACUACAUAUUAAAUAGAUUUUUUUGAACAGGGAGUCGGAAAUGGGGCUUGCUCCGUCCGCUCCACGCAUUGACCCGGUAUUGCAGUACCUCCGGGAAUGGUGCAACACUU